CCUACGGGCGGCAGCAGUGGGGAAUAUUGGACAAUGGGGGCAACCCUGAUCGAGCCAUGCCGCGUGUGUGAAGAAGGCCCUCGGGUUGUAAAGCACUUUCAGUGAGGAAGAACGCCUGGUGGUUAAUACCCAUCAGGAAAGACAUCACUCACAGAAGAAGCACCGGCUAACUCCGUGCCAGCAGCCGCGGUAAUACGGAGGGUGCGAGCGUUAAUCGGAAUUACUGGGCGUAAAGCGCGCGUAGGUGGCUUGAUAAGCCGGUUGUGAAAGCCCCGGGCUCAACCUGGGAACGGCAUCCGGAACUGUCAAGCUUGAGUGCAGGAGAGGAAGGUAGAAUUCCCGGUGUAGCGGUGAAAUGCGUAGAGAUCGGGAGGAAUACCAGUGGCGAAGGCGGCCUUCUGGACUGACACUGACAUUGAGGUGCGAAAGCGUGGGUAGCAAACAGGAUUAGAUACCCUUGUAGUC
Molecule: ribosomal RNA, 465 nt
Filed under: Vreelandella stevensii
Lineage: Bacteria; Pseudomonadati; Pseudomonadota; Gammaproteobacteria; Oceanospirillales; Halomonadaceae
Description: partial 16S ribosomal RNA
Rfam family: Bacterial small subunit ribosomal RNA
Source: RNAcentral